GCUAAGUUAGUUUAUUUUUAGAAUUUGUAACUUGUAAUUACAAGGAUAUUAUUAGCA
RNAcentral lists this transfer RNA (57 nucleotides) under Cloacina communis. Its description in RNAcentral is "tRNA-Thr". The record is from RNAcentral. Lineage: Eukaryota; Metazoa; Nematoda; Chromadorea; Rhabditida; Strongylidae.